CAACCGUUGAACAUUAUUACCAUCUCACCUACCAUUGGAAAUAUAUGACAAUAUUUGACCUUUAUGAUGACCUAUUUCACUAAACCCAUUUAGUGAACUUAUUUUUAUUUUACACUUAUACAACAUCUUUAUGGUGGAAAUUCUACAUUAAUAUUGGACUGUAAUGGUAAUCGUAGUUUUUUUGUGUUUUUAGGAACAAUUAACGCUGCACCAAGAGGGGAUCUUUGAGUUGCCUUUUACAUAGUUUCAUCAGUUUUACUGUUAUGUGCUAUGGGUUUUUUUCCAAAGUUGUAAAACAUAUUGUAUGCAACUUUUGUCCACACAAGAACUAUUCUUGACACGAUAGUGCAUGUUUUACUAUAUGAGUGACACACAGGAUGCUGGUUCAUUUCCUGUGGACUUAUCUUGACAGGAUGGUCUGACCCCACUCCACAAUUUAUGGACUGAACUGAAACAGAUAACACCCAUUUCUGUAUGAAGUCAGUUGGUGAGUUGUUGUGAGUGUUUUGUGUCAGAUGUCUGUAGUGUGACAGAGCAGAGGACUAAUUGUGGUAACUUCUCUGCUGAUUACAAUGUAUUGGUAAAGAAAUAAAAUGAGUAAAACUAUCACUUUGUUUGAAUAGAUUUGACAGCUAGCACUUUUUUAAUGUGUCACCUCUGCAUAUUGUUUGUGUGUGUAUAAGACAGAGAGACAAAGAAAGUGUUCUGGUAGAACUUAUGAUUAAUUGGUGAGUCACACAGUUAAAAUGAGACCCAGUCAGUGAUGUCAGCUUACACCCCCUUGAAUUUAGGGGCAAAAAGGAAAUAAAUUGUCAACUUGGCACAGUUUACCAAGUAAAUUGCAAUUGAUUGCUGAUGUCAUAUUUUUCUCUUUAAAGGUAUAGUGUGCAACAUGAGUCAUUUAUAUCUUCAGAGGCAGCAGAGGCCGCUAUGUUGAACCGCUAACCAGAACAUAAAAAACCAAGAUUUGGCCAGAGGAGGUCGUGGUGAAGACUUCUUGUAGCUGCAGCUGCAGAUGUCUCCAGUCACUGAACCCUGCGGAGGGAGCUGCGUCAAGUCAGACAGAUGGAGCUAGAGUUAUACCGGAAGUGUGACAAUGCGGUCUUCAAAAUAAAACCGAAAGUUGUGAUCUUGGCUUCUAUUAGUAUCCUUGUAUUUUUUGGUUAUAUAAUAAAUGUUAUUGCAGCUA
Molecule: long non-coding RNA, 1189 nt
Organism: Dicentrarchus labrax (European seabass)
Lineage: Eukaryota; Metazoa; Chordata; Actinopteri; Moronidae
Exons: 2
Source: RefSeq, a predicted model, not a curated record